UUGAAUGAUGAAAUAAGCACUGGGCUCUGAGCAGUUUGAUUAAUAACCUGCUUUAUUGAUGCACAUUGCUAGCCUAGAAAGCUAUGUCUGACUA
Lupinus angustifolius (narrow-leaved blue lupine) is the source of this 94-nucleotide small nucleolar RNA. Lineage: Eukaryota; Viridiplantae; Streptophyta; Magnoliopsida; Fabales; Fabaceae. The record is from Rfam.